CUCAGCUUCAGUGCUAAAUGACAGAAUCUUAAAAGAAAACAACAUUAUAUUUUGCAGGAAGCUUAGGGCAGAUGGGCACACACUGCAAUCAUUGAGCUGUUUUCUCAAAAUUCUGAAGAAUUAUGCUGUCCUUGUCGUCUCGGACUGGACUUUUCAAGUUGUUUGCGCCAAGAGAUGAUCAUCCGUCUUGAAUUCAGAAGGUCUUUGUUAUUUACAUGCAAAUUAACAUGAAUCUGACUUGUCUGUUCUUCAAUUCUCAAGGAGACUUACUAGUGUCUGGAACUACAAAUGGAACUACAAAUGACCAAGUUGCAAAGAAAAAGUUUGCACAUCAAGCGCUACGGUUAGACUGUAGUUUUGUUUUUACUCGCAGAAGUUUUAAACUUCUGGAAAUAAAAGCCAAAACCAAGUCGCUGUGGUCUCAAGUGGGAGAUGGAUGUUUUGGACAUAGAAAAGGAAGUUGACUUUCCAAACUCAUUAACACACGUCUUCUCUCAUGGAGGUGUGUCUCUCCAGAAGACUUAAGAUCACAAUACAAGAUCAACGGCAUUGACAUGGGCUUGUCUUUGUAUAUUAAGGUCAAUGAGAGCAGAAAGACAUUUUCCCAACCCUUUUGUUUACAAAUGCAAGGGAGUUUUUGGGAGUUUAAAGUUCUAAAAACAUGGAUUCAACAGCGAAUGCCAACUACAACGAAGGCCUGGAUGUUGACUACCUAACCUCUUGGAUGAAUAUUGGAACCAAUCACAGCAGGAGCGGAUCUACCGGGGUGAUGUGGGGUGGCAAAUGCCACCCUAAGAAAAAGCUUUGCCACCCCAGCACAAGUAUUCAAAUGGAUCAAAUAUAAAUGAGAAGAUAACGGAAUCAACCCAAAAGUUAUGGGUCGCAUUUAAUGAGCUGCAGAGGAAUUGCGCCGCUAUCCCUCUGGGAGUUUCUUCCCUACAGUGAGCUAAGCACGAUGUGAACGGUAACAGGACAAUGCCACCGUUCCCAGAGGGAUUGCUGAUGGUCUUAUUUGAGAGGAUGUUCUGGAGGCAGAAAAUGGUCUACUCUACUCAAGUGUGCUGCUCCGGAGGUUAUACCCCAAACCCUACCUAUGAGGAGAUGUGAACAGCAGGAGGGCUGUUGCUGAAAGCAGAACUGGUAUGCAGUGCAGUGUGCUGAAAGCUCAGAGGGAGCUGUCCAGUGGCCGGUGCUGAAAUUAAUGCUAGUGCUGAAAUGGUUGUCUACACUCCUGUGGUUGCCACUCUCUUCUGCUCGUCUAUGGGUUUUGAAUGGUGGCAUCCCUUUAAAAUGAGUAACUCACUAAAUUUGAGAAGAAAUGGGAAGGGUGAGAAGACACAUAAAGUUAAUCAUUAUGGAGGACUGAUCCUACCACCGGAGAUGCAACCAGUCAAGGCAAGGCAAUUGACCUCACCGAAUGGGACCUCAAGCCAGCUCUGUUUAACUUACUUGUGUGUGACUCUUCAGCAAAGGAGUUUACACAUUGAUCUCUCCUUAUCCUCAAACAGGAAUGUUUCAGGGCAACGACGUCGGUCGGACAAACUAUCGAUCUUGAGCAGGCAUUGCACUCAAAGCAUGAAUAUCAAAAGUUGCUCCAUCCUCCAUUGUCUGCGCUAUCUCUCCACCCACUCUACCUCCUGCCGAGCCAUCUGCGCUUCAGCAAGCCCAGUCUCCAUGGCAACAGGGGAGGCCGUGUUGCCUCCUAUUGGCCCGCUGCCCAAACGGAGAGGCUGCCGGGGGUCGAAGGUUGUCUGUAGAGUGCCGCCUCACCGGUGUUGUAAUCAGCUGUUGAGCCCCAACCACAAUGAAAUGAAUGUCAGAAGGCAAGGGGUUAAUAAAACCUGGUCUGACUGGCAGCUGGGUCCAUUAUGAGUGAAGGACAGGAGGAGGGUGUGGUUAAAGGAGUUAAGCUUGGGGAAAGGGGGGAUUCGGCUUGUCUGGGAUGGUGGAGGGGUACAGGGAAUCAGAUCUUGGGUUGGUGGGCUCGUCUGUGUUGCGUAAGGGAAGAUUAGAUGUUGCCAUAAAUCUUGUCUGUAAGGGGGGACUGAAAUCUGUGGGUGUGUUUUUAGGAUUAUACUGCCUGGUUUUUGAGUGGGGGAUGUUGGAAAAUUGGAGAGCUAUCUGUGGUGAGACGAAAGCGCUGGAUUUGCUUACUACACGCUAUAGAGUAAAAUUGCUUGAAUGAGAUGGACAGUGCAAGCUUUUGGCCGUUAGGUUUAAGCAUGUUACCUGUAGAGUGGAAUUGUUUUUUUUUAAUAAGGCAUUCUCCAUCCAGAAGCAUUAUGCAUCAUUUUUGCAUGCAAAGCGACCAGGAUUAAAAUCCUAGCCUAAUACAUUUAUGACCUGCUCAAUCAUUUUGAACCAAUUUGUCCCAGAAACUCAUUUUGUGUUUCGUGCACUAAAGUACAAGAGAAAGCAUUUAAAUGAUCAUAUCAGCCAACAAAAUUCAACAACAGUUUAGAGUAGAAACAAUUAUAUAAUUAGAUAGCUGAGAUUUGCAUUUUAAUUUAGGGUCAUAGAGAAUGAUGUCAGAAGCUGGUCACAUACAGUAUAUAUUUUUUUUACAAACGAAGAAAAAUUGCAACUGAACUUGACAGCUCCAUGCAUAUAUAUAUAUAUAUGGAAAAGAGCAACUGUGAUGUUUUUACAAUGUGUUAUAACAAACACAUGCAGGGGUACUGUAGAAAAUGACAUAGUUUUCAGUUUAACCCUUUAACGCAUACCUCUGGCCUUUAGUGACCCAGUACCUCAUUUCACCCCCUGUACCUCAUCCGUUUUGGUAUUACGUUAUUAAGCACAUUCAGUUUUGCCCACACCUUUUUAGUUUUCCUCAAUUUUCAGUUAUAAGAAGUAUAACACACAUAUAUACACAACUAGUCAAAAGAUGUUUCUCAUGAUCGUAAAAUCUUUUGAUCUGAAGGGGGGGGGGUGUCAGGGUUUGUCCCCCCCUAAAAUAUCAUUAAAAUAUGUGUAUUGUAAAUAAUAUAAUAAUAUAUUCUUAAAAUAAUUGUUUAAGAAAUAAAAUUAUACAAAUGCAAACGGGGCAACAACAAAAAACCCCUUGGAGUCCCCUUCAAAAAUUGCUCUUGAGAAUUGUUAUGUUUAUUGUCCCCCCCAACAUUUUGAUGAAAUUUUCACCCCUGUUGCUUACAUGUUUUAAAUUGGGUUUUUUUAGAUAAAAAUAUAAUUGUGCCACCAUAUUCAUUUAUUUCAUUGUAAAACUAAAAUUGAAUUAAAAAAAAAAACUUUUAGAAAUUGAUGACUUGGACCAAAUAUUAAAGAAAAGCAGCCAAAAAGUGCCCAAAAUAGAUUUGAACCCCUUCAAUACAGUUUAAAAAGCAUCCCAGAUAAAACCUCAAGAAGAUGGUUGAGAAAAUGUCAAGAGUACAUGUCUGCAAAUUCUAGAACUAGGGUGACUACUUUGAAGAUGCUAAAAUAUAAACACAGUUUGGAUUUAUUUAGGAUUUUGUUUAGUCACAACAUAACAAAACAUUUCCAUAGUUUCAUUUAUGUUAUUCCAUAGUUUUGAUGAUUUUACUAUUAUUCUAAAAUGUGAAAAAGAAAAAAUAAUAAUAAAGAAUGAGUAAGUGUUUCAAAACUUUUGACCUUCAGUACCAAAAGUAUAUAGGGUCAUUAGAGACCCUAGGAAUGUAAUAGUGUCAUUUUUUGUUUUUUUGCACUUCCAUAAAUUAUAUUUGUAUUAUUAUUUAAUAUCUAUAUAAGAUUAAUACCACAGGAUAUGUAUUUCUUUGUUUAUUGCAAGAAAAAUGUGUCUUAUAUUUGUACAAAUAAAUACUACAUCACAUUGAAUUUCUGUGCAACAGUGGUGAAUUAUCAUUAUCCUACACUAUAUGUGUGCAUACAUACAUAUUAUACAUGCUAUUUGUUACUCAGGUUUCGCUGUUGUUUCAGUAAUUGACUUGAUUUACAUUUGACAUUUGACAACAUAGAAGCAAACUAAUGAACAGUAUGAUACAACUAUUGUCAUUUGGGUGUAACACUGAAAUUAUGAAAGUUGUGCAUCUAUUUAGACUCAAUAAAUGCCUGAGAAAAUACCUACGUGUUGCUUGUGUGCAGCUUAUGUGCAUCUUAUGUGUUCUGUGUAUCUCAAUAUGGGUUUGACAGCCAGUUGUGUCUUAUGAAUUUCAGUGUGAAAGUAAUAAAUCCUGUUCUAGAUGUGUCCUGAUUUGUUGCAUCAUCUCUUAUUUAUAUAUGUAAAUAAAACAUCAAAAUAUAUCAGAAUAUAUUUUAUUCUAUUAUUUUAUUUUUGUCUUGAAAAGGCUUUGACAAUGCACACUAUCUGGGCAUUUUGUAGAUCCAUUUGUGAAUAUACUGUACGUGCCGAGUCUCUAAAGACCUGAAUAUGUAAGAGUGUUUGGUGAAAUUCCCAUCCAUUUAAAGGGGUAAUGAAAUGAGGAAUAAAUAAACUUUAAUAUAUAAAGUUUUAGAACUCAAAGCUUCCUCUCCAGUCCAAGAAGAGCAUUUAUUUUUUUUCACCUGGCAAAAACGACUAGUUUUGAAAUCAGCUUCAUUGUGAUGUCACAUUGCAGUGCAAUUUGCAUAAUCCCUGCCUCCACAACAUGUUCUGAACAAGGAUUGAGGAUUCACAAUGAAACUUGUAUUGAAAGAUGUAGCAGUGGCAACAGUAGUGGACACAACGUAAUGCCAGUGAGUAGCAAGUGUAAUUCUAAUGUUUGUCUGCCUGUGCUCAUUUGAUAUGUAAGGAAUUGUUUUGUCAGCCAUUUUUAUCACAAAAUAAAUCAUAUUCAUUGCUCAAAAGGAGAGCGAAUCAUGCUUAUUACAUGGUUAUUUAUCAAAGAAAUGCACAAUUCCUCACAAAAUAUUGAUUUGAGUUUAAAUUAUUUAAAUAUCCCGGAAGAGCACGGAGCGCAAUGAAAAAAAUGAUGAAGUAUAUGGUAGUAAGGCUGCCUGCAUUCUCAUCUGUCUCAUUAUAGUCAUGAUGUCCCCCAUUUUCUCGUAUUUAAGUGGUGAAUUUAUCAAAGGAGACCUCCUUCGCAGGUUGACCAGUAAAUCAUUCAUGGGUGAUUUCCCCAGCCGACGAACACUGCUUAUUUCCUGACAAAUAAUAAUAAUAAAAAUAAAUAUGCAUGUCAUGACCCCUUUAAGGAUUCAGCAGAAGGUUUGACUGGUUUGUGCAGAUCAAGCUUUUGAAUUUUGAAUUUGUGCAAAGUUAUUUUUUUUAUUAUUAUAAUUUUUUUUGGCAGUUGCAAUGAAAAUUCACCUGGCUCAAAAAUGUGAAGGGGCACUGGCCUCCUCAUUUUGAAUGAAAUAAUUAAAAUAAUUGUUGCAGUGUUAAUCCAAACAAAUGCACAAAAAUAUUAAGCAUUACGCUGUUAUUUUUGGUCCUCUCUUGAGCUUUUCAGCCAUUUUGGAUUCCACCAAAAAUAAUAAUCUACCAAAAUGAAAGCAUUGUUUCCCCUUGGCUUAACUGAUCUACAAAUCCCGCUUCACUGGAGUCUUGUAUUACAGUCGCACAGAUACACAGCUGCAGCAUGCUACCAAAUCUCUCUGUCUUGCUUUAGCUGACAUCAGCACACACAUACACCACUGACCUUCCCUAGUGUCCCCAUUCAGGUCAGUGCUCAGCUCUGCUCUCAUGACAAAAAAAUGAAUG
RNA transcript from Xyrauchen texanus (razorback sucker), 5635 nucleotides. RefSeq lists it as uncharacterized. Lineage: Eukaryota; Metazoa; Chordata; Actinopteri; Cypriniformes; Catostomidae. The record is from RefSeq and is a predicted model, not a curated record. The transcript is spliced from 9 exons.